RNAcentral lists this ribosomal RNA (220 nucleotides) under uncultured bacterium. Its description in RNAcentral is "partial 16S ribosomal RNA". It matches the Rfam family "Bacterial small subunit ribosomal RNA", at positions 122 to 334 of the family's 1533-position model. The record is from RNAcentral.
CGAAUCUGCCCUUGAGAGGGAAACAACCUGCCGAAAGGCGGGCUAAUGUCCCAUAAGACCACAGGAUGGCAUCAUCCAGGGGUCAAAGCUCCGCAAGGGGCGCUUGAGGAGGAGCCCGAGUCCUAUCAUGGUAGUUGGUGAGGUAACGGCUCACCAAGCCUUUGACGGGUAGCCGGCCUGAAAGGGUGAUCGGCCACACUGGCACUGAGACACGGGCCAG